UUUUUUNNNCNNNNUCAGGAUGAACGCUGGCGGCGUGCCUAAUACAUGCAAGUCGAACGCUUUGUGGUUCAACUGAUUUGAAGAGCUUGCUCAGAUAUGACGAUGGACAUUGCAAAGAGUGGCGAACGGGUGAGUAACACGUGGGAAACCUACCUCUUAGCAGGGGAUAACAUUUGGAAACAGAUGCUAAUACCGUAUAACAAUAGCAACCGCAUGGUUGCUACUUAAAAGAUGGUUCUGCUAUCACUAAGAGAUGGUCCCGCGGUGCAUUAGUUAGUUGGUGAGGUAAUGGCUCACCAAGACGAUGAUGCAUAGCCGAGUUGAGAGACUGAUCGGCCACAAUGGGACUGAGACACGGCCCAUACUCCUACGGGAGGCAGCAGUAGGGAAUCUUCCACAAUGGGCGAAAGCCUGAUGGAGCAACGCCGCGUGUGUGAUGAAGGGUUUCGGCUCGUAAAACACUGUUGUAAGAGAAGAAUGACAUUGAGAGUAACUGUUCAAUGUGUGACGGUAUCUUACCAGAAAGGAACGGCUAAAUACGUGCCAGCAGCCGCGGUAAUACGUAUGUUCCAAGCGUUAUCCGGAUUUAUUGGGCGUAAAGCGAGCGCAGACGGUUAUUUAAGUCUGAAGUGAAAGCCCUCAGCUCAACUGAGGAAUUGCUUUGGAAACUGGAUGACUUGAGUGCAGUAGAGGAAAGUGGAACUCCAUGUGUAGCGGUGAAAUGCGUAGAUAUAUGGAAGAACACCAGUGGCGAAGGCGGCUUUCUGGACUGUAACUGACGUGNGCUCGA
Molecule: ribosomal RNA, 790 nt
Filed under: Weissella cibaria
Lineage: Bacteria; Bacillati; Bacillota; Bacilli; Lactobacillales; Lactobacillaceae
Description: bacterial SSU rRNA
Rfam family: Bacterial small subunit ribosomal RNA
Source: RNAcentral